UGGGAAUGACAGAAAGCCACAUAAGAAAUGAAGAGCAAAACUCACACAGAACACACCUCAGUAGUCUUCCUUUUACAAUCAAAGCUAAAACACCACCCAUCUUUUAAAGAACAACCUGGAGACACGAGACAGAAGCAAGCCUCGGAUAUUGUAUGAACUAUCUUUCAUGAGUUGCAUUGUGUCGAAGUCAAUGCUCCGACUCUUAUCAACUCCUAUUAAUUCAUCUCUUAUUGUAGGUAGAAGACAAUGAUACGAUGCUCCACAACACAAAUCAACGUAGAUUCCGCAACGCCCGUGGAACAAAAGCAAAGGGAAUCGUUGAGUACGUUUCAGUUUUGAUUGUUUAAGCUGAUCAACCUUGCCUCCGGCAGGUUAGCCUCCCUUCUUAUUUUGUCGACCACCCUCGUAGCAUCGACCCUCUCAGCUAUCACCUCCAAUAUAUUUCCACGCUCUCCAGCAUAGUCCGCAGAUUUAAAACCUGUUUCAAUGUCGAAUCCGUAUACAAGAGAGGAUGAUGAGAAGAGUAGGGUUCUCUCUAAAUUUUUAGAGGCGGAGGAUGUCCAUGGUUAAUGCAUGAAAUCAUUCCGAUGAAAUUCGCGUUUAUGGAGGAGGGUCGGGAGAUGAGGGAGAUGAGGAGUAUUAAUCAGCAAACUAUAUGUAGCCUUCGUAGAUGUUUCUGAAACGGGGGGUAGGAAUUGUUACCAGUUACUUCGUUUAAAGCGAUCGUACGUGCCCUGGCCUUCUGGAUCGGGUCCUCCGUCGUGAGAUCAAUCACUACCUUCUUCUAGAUAUGAUGGACGAAGCGGCGAGAGAUGUUAGUAAAGUUUUAAGAGGAAGAAGACGAACAGGAGACAACUAUCGAUUCAGAAACAUUAACGAACCAAAACGAGGAAAAAAACCCUAACGCAAGAAAAUCAAGACGAGUGAUGGGAGUAAGUACAGACCGCCAUUUUGCUUCCGACACCGAUCUUAUCUUCUGCUCAAGCUGAGCCUCUCUCUUUCUCUACACGCAACG
This 1015-nucleotide long non-coding RNA is filed under the name Eucalyptus grandis. Its description in RNAcentral is "long non-coding RNA (EGRA_LNC003299)". The record is from RNAcentral. Lineage: Eukaryota; Viridiplantae; Streptophyta; Magnoliopsida; Myrtales; Myrtaceae.